This 253-nucleotide ribosomal RNA is filed under the name uncultured bacterium. Its description in RNAcentral is "partial 16S ribosomal RNA". It matches the Rfam family "Bacterial small subunit ribosomal RNA", at positions 524 to 776 of the family's 1533-position model. The record is from RNAcentral.
UACGUAGGGUGCAAGCGUUAAUCGGAAUUACUGGGCGUAAAGCGUGCGCGGGCGGUUUUGUAAGUCUGAUGAGAAAUCCCCGGGCUCAACCUGGGAAUUGCAUUGGAGACUGCAAGGCUAGAAUCUGGCAGAGGGGGGUAGAAUUCCACGUGUAGCAGUGAAAUGCGUAGAGAUGUGGAGGAACACCGAUGGCGAAGGCAGCCCCCUGGGUCAAGAUUGACGCUCAUGCACGAAAGCGUGGGGAGCAAACAGG